Oncorhynchus tshawytscha (Chinook salmon) is the source of this 6239-nucleotide long non-coding RNA. NCBI's taxonomy places the organism in Eukaryota, Metazoa, Chordata, Actinopteri, Salmoniformes, Salmonidae. The record is from Ensembl.
UGUAGAAAAUAGUAGAAAAUGAAGACAAACCCUGGAAUGAGUAGGUGUGUCCAAAGUUUUGACUGGUACUGUAUAUCAAUUUCUAAUCGUGGUUAUAAGGCUUUAAAACCGAGUAAUAAUAAAUGGCCGAUAUAACGGUUAUCGUUGCUUUAAGGAGCGGGGUUGACCAUGUGUUCUCUCUCCGGUCUUCUGUCUGGUAACACUGAGUUUGUUUAUAUAAAAAAAUAUAUUUUGCCUGCCACUAUUUUGUAAACCGUAGUCUAGGUGUGGACCGUAGACACUGAUAUGAAAUGACUGAAAUGACAACGCUUAGAGCUGUAACUGGUUUGGGGGCAGGGGGUUAGCUGUAUGAUCCAUGGAGUUCUAUGCCUGAGUGUUCUCUGACUGCUAUGUUGGUUGGUGUCUAUGGUUUUCAUGCCAACUGGAUGGAGUUGGUGUGAGGUAGAUGGGGUCGUUGUCUGUUUUUGCUCUGAUAGAUUUUUUAAUGCCGCUUUAUCUACUUGUGCACAGUAUCUGUACCAAAAAAAACUGGAUUUAUGAACUGUAGUCUGCCUGUUUUAGAGAAGUUAAACAUUCUGUCCCAACAUUCUGUCCUUUAUUUCUGCAGUCUUUUGACUGGCUUACUUCAAGUUGUACCAAAAAUAUUUGUUGCUGUGUAUUGUCAGUGUAGCUUAGCCUAGUCCAAUAUUUGAGUACAAGCUCUCCCUCUAGACAACAGGAGAUAAAAAUGCAAUAUUUUGAUGAUCACUUUCCAAAGACAAACUUAUUUUUUAAUUUGACUAAGGCUCUCCCUGCUCAGCUUUAAAGUGGCAGCGCAAAUAUCCAAAUAGAAAGGGAUGGGAAGAAGGGAGAUCAGGGGUAUUGUCCCCCUGUAUAAAGUUAAUAUAUUUGAGUGGUGUUUAGGUUUGAAUGGUAGUGGUUAUAUGAUAUCAGUGGGUGCUUGCCCUCAAUAAUCUUUCCUGUUUCUCUACGUUUCCCCCUAUGAUGAUAUGGCGGACUGUGUUGUGAUCCUUUCUAGACUGGUGUAUCUGCUUUGGCAGCAGUUUGGGCUGUAGUCAGGCAUUCAGUAGUCGGGUAGGGGCUGUCCGUUUUAGUUUUUCUACCAAUCUUUAGCCAUGAAAUAAAAAGCUUGAACCAAAGUUGUUUUCUCACUAGCUGCUGUGCCUGUGUGCUCGCGCAAGUUGCUGUUCACACGAUCACUAACCUACACAUUACUACUGACAAGUUUUCUUCUCUUAUACCCACCUAUUUGAAUCCUUUUGGCAUCCCCCGCCUCUAACCCACUUCUAAGGAACAAGGACCUGCACGUUUUCUUCUUCUAGCUUUCUAACCACAUCCUGUUAGCAGCUCUCAGGUCACGUGGUUGAAGCCCUUCCUCUCAUCGCCCAACUAACUUUACUAUGGGGGCUCAUCCCCUGUCAGCACCAGUAAAGAUGUUAGCCCUGUGCCGCCCUUACCGAGCUGCCCCUUUCGUAAACAACAACCCCACACAACAAUAGUGUUCUUCUAUCGGCCCUAACGUAACCAGAUGAAUGACUGCCUAGUUUGAAAAAGCAGAGACAUCUCUCUACGCUAAUACAUUUUUAUGUGCUCCUUUUCUAAUCGUGAAUUACUUUGACGGAAUACCUCAGCAUCACUUAAACAUUAGGUUCACUUUAAGAAAUCUCACACCCGUAGAAUAUUGUAGAAUGUACAAGUCAGUGGAGGCUGGUGGGGGGAGCUAUAGGAGGAUGGGUUCAUUGUAAUGUCUGGAAUGGAAUCAAUGGAACGGUAUCAAACAUAUAAAUAAUAUGGAAACGGCGUGUUUGACUCCGUUCCAUCGAAUCCAUUCCAGCCAUUACAAUGAGGCCGUCCUCCUAUAGCUCCUCCCACCAGCCUCCACUGGUACACGUACCGAAUGGCUUUGCCAUUUAAAAAUAAACAAAAGAGUAAUCGUUAUCUAAAACUAGGACAAACUACUACUGCUAUUUUCUAGUACUACUACUUAUGGGGUAUUUCCAGGUUUGAACAGGUUUGACAUUAUUUUGUGAUCCUUGCCAAAGCAAAGUGAAAGCCUUUCUCUCUGCGGCUGGGUUGAUGUCUCGAUGCUGCUCACUUCACUGGUUUUCUGUCCUUGAGGUCAUGGCAGGCCGAAUGGGACUUGUAGUCCUAUUUGUAGUGCUGUUUGUAGUCGUGAACCAUUGGCCAUUGGCAACAUGGGAAGUUACUGAAAUAUUUAUCUGAGGAACGACUAAAGGAUUAGAGAUAAAUAUAUAUAUACAACUUAUGUAAGAUAUUCAUAUUUUAUAUUUGAACUAGUAUGUUAUCAAGACUGAAUGUAAUGUUUUGUCAUGCUUAUACAAAAAAAACUUUAAAAAAAACAUUUUUAUUAAUGUCAAGACCAAAAACUUUGACCGCACCCCCUUGGUGCGUGAUUUGCGGACACCUGUGCCCAUUACAUGUGUGGGUGUGGUCUCUUGAGAGAGAGGCUUGCUGUGGUGCUUCAGUCGGACAGUCCCUGCUUGUGCAGUAGCUAGGGGAACAAACAGACUGAUGCGCCUGAUCUUAAUCUUAAUUUUUUUUUGUCUGGUUGUUUGGUUUACUAUGGAUUUGAUUUGAUGUGCUGUUUUUAACAAUCAUUUGAAUGUUUUUUAAAAAUUACUUAUGCCUUUAAUUGUUUUGUAUAGCAUGAGAGGACAAGAUCACUGUCUUUCUAGGUUUGACAAAAGAUUAACAUUGACAUUUAUGCCUUAUUGUUAUUUAGAAGACAAGCAUUGUAGCAUAUUGUUGUUUGUGCGACAGUGUAUGAGAGUAAUCUAGUGAGAGAGGCUACCUCCUCGCUAGCUUUUGUGUUUAGCUAGCUCACUCAGUGCAUAAGUCUUUGCUGAAAAUCUACAGUGUAUUUUAGGCAUAAUUUGGGAGAGUGCUGUUCUGUCGCGGUUAUGUUGCAACCUAUGAUUUUAGGGGUGACUCAUACAGGUCGGAAUACCUAUAGAAAAGCUUUACUAAUAACUGAACUCCAGCAGAGGUGUGUGUGUGUGUGCGCACGUGUGUGUGUGUGCGCACGUGCAUGCGUGUGUGUGUGCGUGAGUGUGUGUGUGAUUGAGAGAAGGGAGUGCUGACUGCAGACCAUGAUGGUGCGUUUGUUUUCAGUUUACAGAGAAAGAUGAGAUUAUGAUAAAAUCAUUCAAGGGAAGAAGGGGAUGAUAAUAUUGAAUAGGUGUUUCCUUUGAGUAUAAGACUUGUGAAGUUGUGGAUCUCUCUCUGGUUCGUCUGAUGCUCUAGAAGUGGAUCUGUGUUGAUGCAUGUGGUCUACCCCCCUGUGUGGUGGGUGUAAAGGGAAAGUGCAGAACGGCACCAGUAAGUCUGGGUUAACUAGCUGGGUUAAGGGAGCUGUUGUAUACCUCAUUUUUAACUCGAGACUAAGUGAAACCUGCUUUAAUCUACUUUAGAAAUAAAAACAUGUAAAGCUGAAAAUUAUUUAAAAAACAUAAACAUAAACAUCAAGGUCCUGUCAGAGAAGCCUACAGAUGUCCAGUGUCAGUUGCAGCCACCGGGGGGAGACACGCACCAGUACCAGGAUGUCUGCUUAUUUUUUAUAAUAUUUUUUUACAAGAGCAUAACCAUCAGUCUCCCUAAACACACUGGCCUCUCAGACCUCAACCUCCAAUUGUCUCAUAAGGCUGAAAGUAUUAUCCACAUUUUUCUUUGGUUUUACCUCUGAAAUAUUUACCACUAGUAUGUACUUGAUUUACCCCUCCAUUCUGUUUUCUAUGAUUUGACAAUCCUGCCCUAUUUUAUUCUAAUUUAGAUUCUGAAUGUAGAUGUUGGUGUGUGUGUGUCUGUUCACCUGGUGUGCUCUCUUUCUUUCCUGUGGGAACGUUAACCAAAGACUUCUAAAGUGAUUGUAUAUGGACUAUACCAUCUCUCACCCCUCUCUGCCUCACUAUCCCAUGAUACACACAUUCAGCUGUGCACACCUGUAAAGUCAAUACACCUAUAUGGCAGAGCUGUGUGUGCACCGUGGACACAACUGGUACCUGUAGCAGUGCCUGUGGAUGGGGAUAGGUUGAGUGUGGAGGGGCAAAGUGGGCUUCUCUGAUGGCCAGGUCAAUUAACCAAUCCCGUGGUGGCUGGGUGAUGUUUGUUAAUACACACUGAGGGUUGAUCCUGUGCACACUGUUUAUGCUCAGGACUCACUGUCUCUGUCUGUCUGUCUGAAGAACUGUUGCUAGGACACACAUGUUCAAAGACUGUCACAAAAAUACACUGUUUCUGCCUCUUGGGUACAGUGUGUCUGUUUGGCUCCAAGUCAGUGCAUUGUAGUUGCCAGGACACAUUGUCUAAGAUACACAUUCUCUGGUUCUAGGGUACUGUUUCUGUCUCUCUGUCUCAUCGCCGUUUUCUUUCUUACAUUCCCUCCCUCAUUUCUUAUUAUGUUUCUCGAUUCUCUCUGUUCAGCUUUGACACUAUGCAUUAUGGUCCUUCACUCUGCAUGGCCUGUGUCCGAUUGGCUAAACUCUUUGGCCAAUGGGGUCCCAGGGAAGCUUUGUUUGAUGCUUUAUUCCAAGUGGGGAGUUGUAGGAUCUCACAAGCAUUAUCCCAAUGCAAAAAUAUCCAAAUAUUUAAUGUUUUACAAACGCAGAUACCAAAGAUAACUCUCUGUCCCUGUCACUCGCUCUCUCUCCCUUCCUCUCACCCUGCAGCUUGUGUAUUAAGAGACAACCCCAGCACUGGCUUUAGUUCUAGCCUCAGUAAUUCCAAAGCAUAGAUGUAUAUUUUGGUAUAUUUCUGAGAAACCUAAAUGAAAAACAUCUCGUUUGUUUGGUGUAUCGCUCUUUUUCUGUCACAGCAUGGAACUAAUUGCAGAACUGUCUUACACUUGAACUCUGGGAGCCACGCUGUCGUUGUGAUGCGCGGUUCUACCGUUCCAGUUUGGACUAGAACACUGCUCACUAUGGACACAUGCCUCAGAUCCGACUACGAAACGCCCCCCUCCAGACAUGGCGGGUGGUGGCAUAUAGAACUGAAAGAUUGUGUAGAACAUUUUAAAGUAUGUGAAUCAGGACACAUGGUAGAUUUGAUGCAUUUGUCUGCUGUAUUUUAUUUGUUUAUAUAUAUAUAUAUAUAUAUAUAUAUAUAUAAACAAUAUUUUACUGUAACUGUACAGUUCUCUUUAGUUGUAAACAUCAUUAAACCAUUUUCCAAGUGUUUUAACAUUGGAAUGUGUACUGUGUCUUUUAUUAUGUUCAAAAUAUCAACAUUACCACAUACAGCCAUAAAGGGCACAGAAAGCAGUCAAUAAACUUAACAAAUGACAUGAUAAUACACAUAGAUAAGACAUGCACACGUUUCUGCUGAUUUGUAACAUGCAAUAACAGAGCAGGGAGUUGAGCUCAGGAGUAGAACACUGCUAUAGCUAGAAAGCAGAUAACCUUUUAUGCUGUUAUCUUCAGAGAUAUAAGCUGACUGGGGGAUCAGUGCAGGGGAGAUCUGCCAAUGGAGUAAACAGCUGCCUCUGUGCCGAGGGCUGACUGGGAUCAGUGCAGGGGAGAUCUGCCAAUGGAGUAAACAGCUGCCUCCGUGCCGAGGGCUGACUGGGUCAGAUCAGUUUGGAGGUGGUGGCAGGGCGGAGGGCCGGGUCUGAGUCUGGGUGUUUGCACUGAGAGGCUGGGGGACCUUGGCUUUCUUGUCCUUCUUGCGAGUCUGUGAGAAGAGAGAACCCACAGGAAGAAUGUGUAGGUUAAUAGCCUUCAGGAGCUUUUCUACAGAUUAAGUUGGACAACAACAUUUCACUUGUGUUGCCCUAGUUUUGUCAUGUAAGUUUGAUAGCAGUUUUAUGACACGCUGAUGACUAUCCACAGUAUAGGGUAUGGAUGGCAGAGUAGAGAUUUCAUCUUUCCAUCUCUCAAAUGUACAUAACCUAUAGAUUUUCAAUGUUCUAUGUCACAAUACCAGUAAAUGCAGAUAUGUAGUUCACAUGACUCAGCACAGGGGGCUGAGUCAUGUGUUUUGUUCACUACAUGUGACUCUUACCCUCCCCUUGGACUCGAUCACCUGGUAGGCCUCACUCCCAUCAUCUUUUAUCUGGAGAGCCUAGAAAACAAAACAAGUUUUAUGGUAUUGGUCAAUGAAUGAAUAAAGCGCCCCUGGAAUGGAAGGCUUGCAGAAGUGGAUGAACCUACAUUUAGGAUCACAGUGUUCUGCAACAUCUCAGAAUUGGAACACGGUUAUAAGCCUGUGGUAUAUAAGGAGUAGUC